Molecule: ribosomal RNA, 253 nt
Filed under: uncultured bacterium
Lineage: Bacteria
Description: partial 16S ribosomal RNA
Rfam family: Bacterial small subunit ribosomal RNA
Source: RNAcentral
UACGUAGGGUGCGAGCGUUGUCCGGAAUUAUUGGGCGUAAAGGGCUCGUAGGCGGCCUGUCGCGUCGGAUGUGAAAGCCCAGGGCUUAACCCCGGGUCUGCAUUCGAUACGGGCAGGCUGGAGUGUGGUAGGGGAGAUCGGAAUUCCUGGUGUAGCGGUGAAAUGCGCAGAUAUCAGGAGGAACACCGGUGGCGAAGGCGGGUCUCUGGGCCGAUACUGACGCUGAGGAGCGAAAGCGUGGGGAGCGAACAGG